UACGUAGGGGGCAAGCGUUGUCCGGAUUCAUUGGGCGUAAAGAGCUCGUAGGCGGCUUGGCAAGUCGGGUGUGAAAACUCCAGGCUCAACCUGGAGACGCCACCCGAUACUGCCAUGGCUAGAGUCCGGUAGGGGACCACGGAAUUCCUGGUGUAGCGGUGAAAUGCGCAGAUAUCAGGAGGAACACCUGCGGUGUAGACGGCUUACUGGACCAUAACUGACGCUGAGGCACGAAAGCGUGGGUAGCAAACAGG
Molecule: ribosomal RNA, 254 nt
Filed under: uncultured bacterium
Lineage: Bacteria
Description: partial 16S ribosomal RNA
Rfam family: Bacterial small subunit ribosomal RNA
Source: RNAcentral